RNAcentral lists this ribosomal RNA (427 nucleotides) under Smeringopus lesserti. RNAcentral describes it as "partial 16S ribosomal RNA". It matches the Rfam family "Bacterial large subunit ribosomal RNA", at positions 1816 to 2597 of the family's 2925-position model. Lineage: Eukaryota; Metazoa; Arthropoda; Arachnida; Araneae; Pholcidae. The record is from RNAcentral.
UUCUUUAAGAAAACCCUAACUUAAAGUAAAGCCUGCUCCAUGAAACAUUAAAUAGCCGCAGUUAACCUGUGCUAAGGUAGCAUAAUCAUUAGCUUCAUAAUUAGAAGAUAGUAUGAAAGGCUAAACGUAAAGUUUCUGUCUCAUCCACAAUAACGAAAUUUAUAUAUUAGUUAAAAAGCUAAUCAACCACCACAGGACGACAAGACCCCGAUAAACUACACUUUUAGUUGGGGCAACAAAGAAAUAACUCCUUACUCAUACAACACACCUAGUAACACCUAAAUACGAACAGUUACUACGGGGAUAACAGCGCAAUUUUUUAAUAGAGCCCUUAUCAAAUAAAAAGAUUACGACCUCGAUGUUGAAUUAACCUCCCUGUCUGGCGCAAAAGCCUUAUCAAGAAGGUCUGUUCGACCUAAUAAAGGUU